GACAUAACUAUUAUCAACUAUUGAGUGUGACUUGAAUUUGGUGUGACCUAUGGUAUGAAUUGACUCAUAAAUACUUCAGUUGGCCCAUUUGGAAAGUUUGGCCUUUUCUCUUUAUUUUAGGAUUUGGUAGCUAUAUAUUUAUAUAUUAUAAUUACAUCUUUUAUUAUUUAAGAACCUGCUGUAUAUUCUUUGUACUCCAUCUUUUUUGAUAUAGUGAAAUCUUUUCCUAUCUUCACCCAU
This 240-nucleotide long non-coding RNA is filed under the name Elaeis guineensis (African oil palm). RNAcentral's name for it is "long non-coding RNA (EGUI_LNC025491)". Lineage: Eukaryota; Viridiplantae; Streptophyta; Magnoliopsida; Arecales; Arecaceae. The record is from RNAcentral.